GAGCUUUAUAAGGUUUCAAUGAGACUCCAAUUUUAUCAUUGACUAGUCCUUUUGGAGUAUAGGCCAUGUGGUUUGGGUCUUUCAUUGAGGCAUUACAAAUGGUAUCAGAGUCUAUCCCAACCUAAAAUGUGGGAUUUGAGCCUUGCCACCUACAACGAACAGGCCCAACGAGAACGUCAGGAAUUUAAGGGGGGAGAUUGUGAUACCCCAUAUGAUAAGGAUAAGGGUAGAUGGUGUAUGGAAUCCCACAUAGCUUGGGAAUGAGAAGUUCUUGCUCUUUAUAAGGUUCCAAUGAGGCUUCAAUUGUAUCAUUGACUAGUCCUUUUGGAGUAUAGGUCAUGUGGUUUGGGUCUUCCAU
Long non-coding RNA from Juglans microcarpa x Juglans regia, 358 nucleotides. RefSeq lists it as uncharacterized. The transcript is spliced from 2 exons. The record is from RefSeq and is a predicted model, not a curated record. Lineage: Eukaryota; Viridiplantae; Streptophyta; Magnoliopsida; Fagales; Juglandaceae.